GAGGGUAUAGCUCAGUGGUAGAGCAGAUCCUUAGCAUGCAUGAGAUCUUGGGUUCAAUCCCUCGUACCUCUA
Molecule: transfer RNA, 72 nt
Filed under: Camelus bactrianus (Bactrian camel)
Lineage: Eukaryota; Metazoa; Chordata; Mammalia; Artiodactyla; Camelidae
Also listed under: 2 other names
Rfam family: tRNA
About the family: Transfer RNA (tRNA) molecules are approximately 80 nucleotides in length.
Source: Rfam by way of RNAcentral